This 810-nucleotide long non-coding RNA is filed under the name Cucumis sativus (cucumber). RNAcentral's name for it is "long non-coding RNA (CSAT_LNC000683)". The record is from RNAcentral. Lineage: Eukaryota; Viridiplantae; Streptophyta; Magnoliopsida; Cucurbitales; Cucurbitaceae.
GUGUGUGUGUCUAUAUAUAUAUAUAUAUAUAUAGAGAGAGAGAGAGAGAGAGAGAGAGAGAGAGGAGAGUAAAAAUGAGUGACAAUAAUAUGUUGAUAGAAGUAAACAAAAAAAGGAAAUGUAAAGGUACAUACCACAUAUAAAAAAGGAGCUAAAUUAGUUGAACAAAGGAGAAUUCUUGUGUCUUUAAUUCUCACUAUGUAUAUAUACAAAUGGGUAUGUAUAUAUAUGUGUGUGAUGAUGAUUUCAUCUCUCUCCACCAUUGAAAAGAUAUAAUAAUAUUGAGAUGAUGAUGAUUAAGGAGAGGAUGGCCAAGUCUGGAAGCCAAUAUCAUUGUGUUUUCUUGAAGGGGUUGAAGAAGGAAUUGGAAUAGUUCUCUUGGGGAAGAAGCCAUAGAAAUGGGGUUUUGUUGUUGGGUUGUUGUUGUUAUAAUUCUUGGAGAAAUAAGAAGAAGAAAGAGAAGAAGGUGAUGAUGCUGUUGAGGCAUUGCAAUAAUAAAUAAUGAAGAAGAGAAAUAGAAGAAGAAGAAGAAGAGAUAUCAUAAUGAGAUGUGAAGGCCUUUUUCGAAACUCAACCAUUUUUGUUUUGUUGAUAGGUGAGAGCUGAGUUAUUUGAGGAGAGAAGCUUUGUUGGUUUGUUUCUUUUGUUUUUGUGGUUUAGGAGGUUUGGAGGAAGAGAGAGUUUUGAAGCAAAACCUAAACUAAUAUACAAAAGAGAGAGAGAGAGAAGAGUUGACAAUAUGUGUUUGGGUUAAAGGGAAGGGAGGCUAAUAAUUAAAGGGAUUUUUCACUCGGGAAAACGAACAAAAUG